RNAcentral lists this ribosomal RNA (246 nucleotides) under uncultured Gardnerella sp. Its description in RNAcentral is "partial 16S ribosomal RNA". It matches the Rfam family "Bacterial small subunit ribosomal RNA", at positions 108 to 354 of the family's 1533-position model. The record is from RNAcentral. Lineage: Bacteria; Bacillati; Actinomycetota; Actinomycetes; Bifidobacteriales; Bifidobacteriaceae.
GAGUAAUGCGUGACCAACCUGCCCCAUGCUCCAGAAUAGCUCUUGGAAACGGGUGGUAAUGCUGGAUGCUCCAACUUGACGCAUGUCUUGUUGGGAAAGUGUUUAGUGGCAUGGGAUGGGGUCGCGUCCUAUCAGCUUGUAGGCGGGGUAAUGGCCCACCUAGGCUUCGACGGGUAGCCGGCCUGAGAGGGCGGCGGCCACAUUGGGACUGAGAUACGGCCCAGACUCCUACGGGAGGCAGCAGAC